GCUAAAUAAGAGCGUAUGGGGAAUGCCUAGGCUCUCAGAGGCGAUGAAGGACGUGAUAAGCUGCGAAAAGCUGCGGGGAUUGGCACAUACAAAUUGAUCCGCAGAUAUCCGAAUGGGGCAACCCGGCAUGUUGAAGACAUGUCACCUAGCAAUAGGGGUAAACCCGGUGAACUGAAACAUCUAAGUAACCGGAGGAAGAGAAAACAAUAGUGAUUCCGUUAGUAGUGGCGAGCGAACGCGGACCAGGCCAGU
Molecule: ribosomal RNA, 252 nt
Filed under: Conticribra weissflogii
Lineage: Eukaryota; Bacillariophyta; Thalassiosirophyceae; Thalassiosirales; Thalassiosiraceae
Description: partial Bacterial large subunit ribosomal RNA
Rfam family: Bacterial large subunit ribosomal RNA
Source: RNAcentral